RNAcentral lists this long non-coding RNA (234 nucleotides) under Elaeis guineensis (African oil palm). RNAcentral's name for it is "long non-coding RNA (EGUI_LNC048917)". Lineage: Eukaryota; Viridiplantae; Streptophyta; Magnoliopsida; Arecales; Arecaceae. The record is from RNAcentral.
UAUUACUUAUUUUGUAUGUGAAUAUAUUUUUUUUAAUCAAAAAUGAUAUUCCUUAUAUUACAGGGAGUAAAGGUUUCGCUAUUAUCAUAGUUCUCCAUAAAGAAUUUUGGAAAAGCAUCUCUCAUCCUAGGGAUGAAAUCUAUAAAGAUAGAUCUAAGAGACUGCUUGGGUUAUCCCAGGCCAAUGUACAUAGAGUGUUUAUGAGUAAAAUUUAUUCUAUCAUGUAUACCAUGU